CCAGCAGCCGCGGUAAUACGUAGGGGGCUAGCGUUAUCCGGAAUUACUGGGCGUAAAGGGUGCGUAGGUGGUUUCUUAAGUCAGAGGUGAAAGGCUACGGCUCAACCGUAGUAAGCCUUUGAAACUGGGAAACUUGAGUGCAGGAGAGGAGAGUGGAAUUCCUAGUGUAGCGGUGAAAUGCGUAGAUAUUAGGAGGAACACCAGUUGCGAAGGCGGCUCUCUGGACUGUAACUGACACUGAGGCACGAAAGCGUGGGGAGCAAACAGGAUUAGAUACCCUGGUAGUCCACGCCGUAAACGAUGAGUACUAGCUGUCGGAGGUUACCCCCUUCGGUGGCGCAGCUAACGCAUUAAGUACUCCGCCUGGGAAGUACGCUCGCAAGAGUGAAACUCAAAGGGAAUUGACGGGGACCCGCACAAGUAGCGGAGCAUGUGGUUUAAUUCGAAGCAACGCGAAGAACCUUACCUAAGCUUGACAUCCUUCUGACCUCUCCCUAAUCGGAGAUUUCCCUUCGGGGACAGAAGUGACAGGUGGUGCAUGGUUGUCGUCAGCUCGUGUCGUGAGAUGUUGGGUUAAGUCCCGCAACGAGCGCAACCCUUGCCUUUAGUUGCCAGCAUUAAGUUGGGCACUCUAGAGGGACUGCCAGGGAUAACCUGGAGGAAGGUGGGGAUGACGUCAAAUCAUCAUGCCCCUUAUGCUUAGGGCUACACACGUGCUACAAUGGGUGGUACAGAGGGCAGCCAAGUCGUGAGGCGGAGCUAAUCCCUUAAAGCCAUUCUCAGUUCGGAUUGUAGGCUGAAACUCGCCUACAUGAAGCUGGAGUUACUAGUAAUCGCAGAUCAGAAUGCUGCGGUGAAUGCGUUCCCGGGUCUUGUACACACCGCCCGUCACACCACGGAAGUUGGGGGCGCCCGAAGCCGGAUUGCUAACCUUUUGGAAGCGUCCGUCGAAGGUGAAAUCAAUAACUGGGGUGAAGUCGUAACAAGGUAGCCGAU
RNAcentral lists this ribosomal RNA (996 nucleotides) under uncultured Bacillota bacterium. RNAcentral describes it as "bacterial SSU rRNA". It matches the Rfam family "Bacterial small subunit ribosomal RNA", at positions 508 to 1504 of the family's 1533-position model. The record is from RNAcentral. Lineage: Bacteria; Bacillati; Bacillota.